This 411-nucleotide ribosomal RNA is filed under the name uncultured Gammaproteobacteria bacterium. RNAcentral describes it as "bacterial SSU rRNA". It matches the Rfam family "Bacterial small subunit ribosomal RNA", at positions 9 to 416 of the family's 1533-position model. The record is from RNAcentral. Lineage: Bacteria; Pseudomonadati; Pseudomonadota; Gammaproteobacteria.
GAGUUUGAUCCUGGCUCAGAGUGAACGCUGGCGGCAGGCCUAACACAUGCAAGUCGAACGGCAGCGCAGCAGUAGCAAUACUGUGGGCGGCGAGUGGCGGACGGGUGAGGAAUACAUCGGAAUCUACCUUGUCGUGGGGGAUAACGUAGGGAAACUUACGCUAAUACCGCAUACGAACUACGGUUGAAAGCGGCGGACCGCAAGGCGUCGCGCGAUUGGAUGAGCCGAUGUCCGAUUAGCUAGUUGGCGGGGUAAAGGCCCACCAAGGCGACGAUCGGUAGCUGGUCUGAGAGGAUGAUCAGCCACACUGGAACUGAGACACGGUCCAGACUCCUACGGGAGGCAGCAGUGGGGAAUAUUGGACAAUGGGCGCAAGCCUGAUCCAGCCAUGCCGCGUGUGUGAAGAAGGCC